UUGUUGAUUGUGUUGCUGAUGAUGAUAAUUAUCCCUGAAAACAGGUGCUACACUAGCCACCUGGUGCUGAUGACGCACAGGCUUCCUCUUAUCAGAGGGUCUUCUGGUUUUAACAUGGCAUUGCACAGCAUGUGCCUCCCCAUCUUUCUUUUUAAACGCCCCAUAUCGUUUAGAAGAGCUUUCAUCCUUGGACAAACGUCCUUCCCGGACUCCUUCCUCCAAUCGCACCCCCAUGUUCACCAUUUCGGUGAAAUCAGAGGGAGCACUUGC
RNAcentral lists this long non-coding RNA (270 nucleotides) under Lathyrus oleraceus (garden pea). RNAcentral describes it as "Pisum sativum (pea) long non-coding RNA (PSAT_LNC018430)". The record is from RNAcentral. Lineage: Eukaryota; Viridiplantae; Streptophyta; Magnoliopsida; Fabales; Fabaceae.